GACGAACGCUGGCGGCGUGGAUUAGGCAUGCAAGUCGAACGGUAUCAUCCUUUCGGGGGUGAGAGAGUGGCGAACUGGUGAGUAACACGUAGGUUAUCUACCCUCAAGACGGGGACAACCCAGGGAAACUUGGGCUAAUACCGGAUGUGAGCAACUUUUAGUUGUUUGAAAGGUGGCGUAAGCUGUCGCUUGGGGAUGAGCCUGCGUCCUAUUAGUUAGUUGGUGAGGUAACGGCUCACCUAGGCAAUGAUAGGUAGGCGGCCUUAACGGGUGGUCGCCCACACUGGGAUUGAGAUACGGCCCAGACUCCUACGGGAGGCAGCAGUCGAGAAUAGUCUACAAUGGUCGGAAGACUGAUAGUGCGACGCCGCGUGAACGAUGAAUCCCUUCGGGGUGUAAAGUUCUUUUAUAUGUGAGCAGUGCUUCUUAUAUUAACAGUAUGGGGAGAGAGAUAUUAGCAUAUGAAUAAGCAAACGGCUAAACUCCGUGCCAGCCAGCCGCGGU
RNAcentral lists this ribosomal RNA (504 nucleotides) under uncultured bacterium. RNAcentral's name for it is "bacterial SSU rRNA". It matches the Rfam family "Bacterial small subunit ribosomal RNA", at positions 28 to 521 of the family's 1533-position model. The record is from RNAcentral.